GAAAUGCGAUAAGUAGUGUGAAUUGCAGAAUUCAGUGAAUCAUCGAAUCUUUGAACGCACAUUGCGCCCCUUGGUAUUCCAUGGGGCAUGCCUGUUCGAGCGUCAUUUGUACCCUCAAGCUCUGCUUGGUGUUGGGUGUUUGUCCCCGUCUCCGCGCGUGGACUCGCCCCAAAUUGAUUGGCAGCCGGCGUACUGGUCCCGGAGCGCAGCACAUGUCGCGCAAACGAGUGCCUUGGUACGGCGGCGUCCAUAAGCCCCUCUCUCACGCUCUUGACCUCGGAUCAGGUAGGGAUACCCGCUGAACUUAAGC
This 310-nucleotide unclassified non-coding RNA is filed under the name plant metagenome. RNAcentral describes it as "partial contains 5.8S ribosomal RNA, internal transcribed spacer 2, and large subunit ribosomal RNA". The stretch from base 1 to 105 matches the Rfam family "5.8S ribosomal RNA", at positions 50 to 154 of the family's 154-position model. The record is from RNAcentral.